Long non-coding RNA from Aedes albopictus (Asian tiger mosquito), 1582 nucleotides. RefSeq lists it as uncharacterized. Lineage: Eukaryota; Metazoa; Arthropoda; Insecta; Diptera; Culicidae. The record is from RefSeq and is a predicted model, not a curated record. The transcript is spliced from 2 exons.
UAGAAAUGAGUAUAAGCAACUAUUCUCAUCAUUUUCUAAUUAUUACAAGCAAAUUUGUUUAAAAAAUUCAAUUUAUUCUUGGUGCACAGGUAGAUUUGAGGUUAGGGAAUCGCCACUGAAUUUUAUAUUCUUUGAAACCCUCGAACUAUCUAACAUGUAAUUUCACUUCGAGAAAAAUUUGAAACUCUGGGUAAGGGAAUAUAGGGUGAUAAAGGGUAUUAUCGGCAGGUUUGUUCUCUUCGUCAAGGGGGUUUUUUGUGGGCCAAAUUGCCUGAAAUUUGGGCACAUAACUCAGCUUGGUUGGGAAGGAUUUGAAGCCAACUUUGAGAUCAACAGGUUUCAAAAAACCCCCCAUGACGAAGAGAACAAAACUACCGAAAAUACGUAAGUUCCCCUAUAUAAAGGGAUUUUAUCAUUUCCUGCAAAUUUUGUUGUGCUUAUUUAGACCAGGUUGAUUAUUUUAGUUCAAACACAAUUUCUUAUUCCUAAUUAGGUUCUUUCUCCUGAAUUUGUUACAGAUUGUCUUGUUGUUCCACUGAUCUGCAGCGUUGUGAAAGGUAAGCAUUCAAUUUACAAUUUCCAUUUCAAAAUCACCAAUCACUCUCAUUGAAUGAUGCUAAAAAUCAUGGACCUGUUCUGAUCAACCAUGAAACGAAAAAACGAUUGCUUCUGACACCUCUUCUGACAAUGAACAAAUUCAUCCAGAGCUCGUUCAUUUCGCGUUUGUCCAAAUCUGUUCUUGGUUGCUAACGUGAAUUCCUUAUCUUUUUGAUACCCUUGCAGGUCGUAGUCUGCAGUUGCGUUUGAUGGAUCGAUUCUGUUUACAUUGGAUUUGCCUAAAGGUGAGCUUUCUUAGCAACAAUUUUAUUGACAAAAAAAAUCUACCCUACGAAUGAUGCCAAACAAUCAUGGACCUGUUCUGAAAUACAUCAAUGUUGAAGAACGAUUGCAUUUCUGACACCUCUUCUGACGUUUACUGUUGAUCUCAGCGAUAUUCACCAUUUAGAUUCCACGAACUCAACAAUAACCAUUUUUCAUUCGAUUCCAUUACAGGUUUUUCGUGGUUCGCUCAUGAAGAGUCCUCUGUGUUGCUGUUGUCCGCUCUGAAAGGUUUUGUCUAAACUUGGUUUUGAUUUCUCUCAAUUGAAUACUUUAGGUGGCUUCAUUUCGCAAAUUUCACUUCUGAAGAAUCGUUAAUCGGUAUACAAUACAUGUUAGUACCUAACUCGUAUUUUGGAACAAGUUUGCAAAGCAUCUGGAACAUAUUGUUCAUGUGAGCCAAAUCAAGCUUCUCCGUGUCUACCUACGGCAACUAGGAAUCAUUUUCGGAGGAACUAUUCUGGCAGUGAUGUGCUGUGAGAUAUACAACACGAACAUCCAAGUGAAAGAAUGAACACACGUUAGUAUUCUAUCACUUAAAUAUACGAGUCAACUUAUCUCACACUACUUCAGUUAAUGCCAAAUAAGCCUAACCUUUGACGCUUAAGAGUGGUUAAGUGGGCUAUGGAUUCGAACUAACCGAACCGAAUUCGGAAUUUGAAUCCUUUGUACCUAACGCACUGAAUGAAAUAAAAAAAAAUAA